UACGUAGGGGGCUAGCGUUGUCCGGAAUCAUUGGGCGUAAAGAGCGUGUAGGCGGUCCGGUAAGUCCGCUGUGAAAGUCGGGGGCUCAACCCUCGAAUGCCGGUGGAUACUGUCGGGCUAGAGUGCGGAAGAGGCGAGUGGAAUUUCUGGUGUAGCGGUGAAAUGCGCAGAUAUCAGGAGGAACACCUAUUGCGAAGGCAGCUCGCUGGGACGUUACUGACGCUGAGACGCGAAAGCGUGGGGAGCAAACAGG
Molecule: ribosomal RNA, 253 nt
Filed under: uncultured bacterium
Lineage: Bacteria
Description: partial 16S ribosomal RNA
Rfam family: Bacterial small subunit ribosomal RNA
Source: RNAcentral